RNAcentral lists this unclassified non-coding RNA (294 nucleotides) under uncultured fungus. RNAcentral's name for it is "sequence contains 5.8S rRNA gene". The stretch from base 1 to 53 matches the Rfam family "5.8S ribosomal RNA", at positions 102 to 154 of the family's 154-position model. The record is from RNAcentral. Lineage: Eukaryota; Fungi.
GAACGCACCUUGCGCUCUUUGGUAUUCCGAAGAGCAUGCCUGUUUGAGUGUCGUGAAAUUCUCAAUCCUUAUUCUUUCUUGAUUGGAAGGGUUUGGAUUGGAUUUGGGGAUUGCUGGUUGGUUUUCAAUCAAUCGGCUUCCCUUGAAUGCAUUAGCUGGAGUAUGACUUUGCAGCAUAUAUGCGGUGUGAUAAUGUCUUCACUGCGUAGCUCUAAGUUGUCUGGCUUCUAAUCGUCUUCGGACAAUUUUGACAAUCAGACCUCAAAUCAGGUAGGACUACCCGCUGAACUUAAG